Molecule: non-coding RNA, 84 nt
Organism: Saitozyma sp. JCM 24511
Lineage: Eukaryota; Fungi; Basidiomycota; Tremellomycetes; Tremellales; Trimorphomycetaceae
Source: the annotation of a GenBank genome assembly
GCCUCUAUAGCUCAAUUGGUCAGAGCAUGUGACUUUUAUUCCAUUCCAAUCCCAAGGUUGCGGGUUCGAGUCCCGCUAGAGGCU